Molecule: unclassified non-coding RNA, 251 nt
Filed under: plant metagenome
Description: partial contains 5.8S ribosomal RNA, internal transcribed spacer 2, and large subunit ribosomal RNA
Rfam family: Bacterial small subunit ribosomal RNA
Source: RNAcentral
UAGGGUGCGAGCGUUGUCCGGAAUUACUGGGCGUAAAGGGCUCGUAGGUGGUUUGUCGCGUCGUCUGUGAAAUUCUGGGGCUUAACUCCGGGCGUGCAGGCGAUACGGGCAUAACUUGAGUGCUGUAGGGGUAACUGGAAUUCCUGGUGUAGCGGUGAAAUGCGCAGAUAUCAGGAGGAACACCGAUGGCGAAGGCAGGUUACUGGGCAGUUACUGACGCUGAGGAGCGAAAGCAUGGGUAGCGAACAGGA